Molecule: ribosomal RNA, 440 nt
Filed under: uncultured bacterium
Lineage: Bacteria
Description: partial 16S ribosomal RNA
Rfam family: Bacterial small subunit ribosomal RNA
Source: RNAcentral
CCUACGGGAGGCAGCAGUGGGGGAUAUUGCACAAUGGGGGAAACCCUGAUGCAGCGACGCCGCGUGAGUGAAGAAGUAUUUCGGUAUGUAAAGCUCUAUCAGCAGGGAAGAAAAUGACAGUACCUGACCAAGAAGCCCCGGCUAACGACGUGCCAGCAGCCGCGGUAAGACGGAGGGGGCAAGCGUUAUCCGGAUUUACUGGGUGGAAAGGGAGCGGAGACUGUUUUGUAAGUCUGGAGUGAAAGCCCGGGGCCCAACCCCGGGCCUGCUUUGGAAACUGUGUAACUGGAGUACAGGAGGGGCAGGCGGAAUUCCUGGUGUAGCGGUGAACUGCGUAGAUAUCAGGAGGAACACCGGCGGCGAAGGCGGCCUGCUGGACUGAAACUGACGUUGAGGCUCGAAAGCGUGGGGAGCAAACAGGAUUAGAUACCCCUGUAGUC